CAGUCGCCGCGGGAAUACGUAGGUCCCGAGCGUUGUCCGGAUUUAUUGGGCGUUAAGCGAGCGCAGGCGGUUAGAUAAGUCUGAAGUUAAAGGCUGUGGCUUAACCAUAGUACGCUUUGGAAACUGUUUAACUUGAGUGCAAGAGGGGAGAGUGGAAUUCCAUGUGUAGCGGUGAAAUGCGUAGAUAUAUGGAGGAACACCGGUGGCGAAAGCGGCUCUCUGGCUUGUAACUGACGCUGAGGCUCGAAAGCGUGGGGAGCAAACAGGAUUAGAUACCCCCGUAGUCCCUGUCUCUUAUACC
RNAcentral lists this ribosomal RNA (301 nucleotides) under uncultured bacterium. RNAcentral describes it as "partial 16S ribosomal RNA". It matches the Rfam family "Bacterial small subunit ribosomal RNA", at positions 509 to 808 of the family's 1533-position model. The record is from RNAcentral.